UACCACAACGACGGAAUUUUGAAUCGUCUCUCUCCUCUCUCUCUGUCUCUCCCUUCCUCCCUCUUUCCCUUCCCCAUCGUCUCUGCCUCUCUAACCGUUAUGCCUUGCCCUCCCCCAUACUAUCUCUAUUGCCUAAAAAACACAGGAGAGUACACUAUUCUCUUUCGCCUUACCAUUCUCUCACGCCUUGCCGUCCCUCUCUCUCAAGACCUCUAUUGGGGAAAAACCAAUUUUUUGUUUGAAGAUUGAAUGGAGGAUUGCCUCUUUGAGAACCCAAUAUUAGAUUUAAGUUCAAAGCUACUCUCAAGAUACUGAUUUUGAAUAAGGUACGUAAGUGAAAUGCCACAUGGAAACUCCUCCAAAUGAAACCACGGUUGUAGAGAGCGUAGCAUCAGUUACAGAAAAUCCAAACAGUUUCUAGAUCCAUACCAUGGGGAAAUAUUUUCAAUUCAUGAUGAUGCUUAUGAAUUUUUACAAGUGUUUUGCCAAGUCAUGGGAUUUUGGGUGCGUCCUCAACGAACUAUUGGAAAAGAAGGUGAUGGGAAUGAAACUACUAGAAGAUAUUAUGUUUGCCAUAGGGAGGGCCAUUUAACAAACAAAUACUUGUCUGAAAUUAAAAGAGAAAGAGAUCGAUCAUCAAGGAGAUGCAAUUGUGGAGUACAAUUGGGGCGCGAAAUGCUGCUUUACAUACGGGUUUUUUGGGCAUUUACAUGUGACAACUUUGUAUAUAUAAUUUUAGAAUGGUACAUAAUGAUUAUUGUCCUAUCAAUUUUGUUAAGAAGUUAUUAUAAGAUUGAAUUUGGAUGUGAGAAGUUAUUGUAAGGUUGAAUGUGGAUGCAAUAUUGAUGUUGUACAUCAAAUGUAACAUCAACGAGCUAUGUUGAGGACUAUCUAUGAUGCUGUUUUGUCAUAUCAACAACUUCAUCAUGAAAUUCAUUCA
Molecule: long non-coding RNA, 940 nt
Organism: Amborella trichopoda
Lineage: Eukaryota; Viridiplantae; Streptophyta; Magnoliopsida; Amborellales; Amborellaceae
Source: RefSeq, a predicted model, not a curated record